GAUGAAGAACGUAGCGAAAUGCGAUAAGUAGUGUGAAUUGCAGAAUUCAGUGAAUCAUCGAAUCUUUGAACGCACAUUGCGCCCCUCGGUAUUCCGAGGGGCAUGCCUGUUCGAGCGUCAUUACACCACUCAAGCUAUGCUUGGUAUUGGGCGUCGUCCUUAGUUGGGCGCGCCUUAAAGACCUCGGCGAGGCCACUCCGGCUUUAGGCGUAGUAGAAUUUAUUCGAACGUCUGUCAAAGGAGAGGAACUCUGCCGACUGAAACCUUUAUUUUUCUAGGUUGACCUCGGAUCAGGUAGGGAUACCCGCUGAACUUAAGCAUAUCAAUAAGCGGAGGA
Molecule: unclassified non-coding RNA, 337 nt
Filed under: soil metagenome
Description: partial contains 5.8S ribosomal RNA, internal transcribed spacer 2, and large subunit ribosomal RNA
Rfam family: 5.8S ribosomal RNA (bases 1-120)
Source: RNAcentral